Molecule: long non-coding RNA, 255 nt
Filed under: Nicotiana tabacum (common tobacco)
Lineage: Eukaryota; Viridiplantae; Streptophyta; Magnoliopsida; Solanales; Solanaceae
Description: long non-coding RNA (NTAB_LNC009708)
Source: RNAcentral
AAAGAUUCAUCAGAAUAAGAUUUUUAUCUUAGGUGAAAGAUUCAACAGACUAAGAUUUCUUUAUCUUAGGUGAAAGAUUCAACAGACUAAGAUUUCUUAAUCUUAGGUGAAAGAUUCAACAGACUAAGAUUUCUUUAUCUUAGGUGAAAAAUUCAACAGACUAAGAUUUUUAUCUUUUAACCAUUUUCCUUCGAAAUUUGUUUUACCUACCCACUAACUUGAAUUAUCUUCCUUCAGAACUGCUUCCCUAAAAAC